GUUAGGAAUAUUCGUCAAUGGGGGAAACCCUGAACGAGCAAUGCCGCGUGAGUGAUGACGGUCUUUAUGAUUGUAAAACUCUGUUGUAUGGGAAGAACACUAGAUAUAGGAAAUGAUAUCUAGCUGACGGUACCAUGCCAGAAAGCCCCGGCUAACUACGUGCCAGCAGCCGCGGUAAUACGUAGGGGGCGAGCGUUAUCCGGAUUUAUUGGGCGUAAAGCGUGUGUAGGCGGUUUAUUAAGUAUAAGAUUAAAGCCUGGGGCUUAACUCCAGUUCGUCUUAUAAACUGGUAGACUUGAGUGUGGUAGAGGCAAAUGGAAUUUCUAGUGUAGCGGUAAAAUGCGUAGAUAUUAGAAGGAACACCGGUGGCGAAGGCGAUUUGCUGGGCCAUUACUGACGCUGAGACACGAAAGCGUGGGGAGCGAAUAGGAUUAGAAACCCCAGUAGUCC
RNAcentral lists this ribosomal RNA (450 nucleotides) under uncultured bacterium. RNAcentral's name for it is "partial 16S ribosomal RNA". It matches the Rfam family "Bacterial small subunit ribosomal RNA", at positions 354 to 796 of the family's 1533-position model. The record is from RNAcentral.